This 1148-nucleotide ribosomal RNA is filed under the name Salinicola salarius. RNAcentral's name for it is "bacterial SSU rRNA". It matches the Rfam family "Bacterial small subunit ribosomal RNA", at positions 1 to 1097 of the family's 1533-position model. The record is from RNAcentral. Lineage: Bacteria; Pseudomonadati; Pseudomonadota; Gammaproteobacteria; Oceanospirillales; Halomonadaceae.
UUUUUUUUUUUUUUUUUUNUUUUUUUUUUUUUUAUUUUUUUUUUUUCGUGACGCGGCGGCAGGCCUAACACUUGCAAGUCGAGCGGCAGCACGGGGAGCUUGCUCCCUGGUGGCGAGCGGCGGACGGGUGAGUAAUGCAUAGGAAUCUGCCCGGUAGUGGGGGAUAACGUGGGGAAACCCACGCUAAUACCGCAUACGUCCUACGGGAGAAAGCGGAGGAUCUUCGGACUUCGCGCUAUCGGAUGAGCCUAUGUCGGAUUAGCUAGUUGGUAAGGUAACGGCUUACCAAGGCGACGAUCCGUAGCUGGUCUGAGAGGAUGAUUCAGCCACACUGGGACUGAGACACGGCCCAGACUUCCUUACGGGAGGCAGCAGUGGGGAAUAUUGGACAAUGGGCGAAAGCCUGAUCCAGCCAUGCCGCGUGUGUGAAGAAGGCUUUCGGGUUGUAAAGCACUUUCAGCGAGGAAGAAAGCCUCUGGGUUAAUACCCCAGAGGAAGGACAUCACUCGCAGAAGAAGCACCGGCUAACUCCGUGCCAGCAGCCGCGGUAAUACGGAGGGUGCGAGCGUUAAUCGGAAUUACUGGGCGUAAAGCGCGCGUAGGUGGCUUGGCACGCCGGUUGUGAAAGCCCCGGGCUCAACCUGGGAACGGCAUCCGGAACGGCCAGGCUAGAGUGCAGGAGAGGAAGGUAGAAUUCCCGGUGUAGCGGUGAAAUGCGUAGAGAUCGGGAGGAAUACCAGUGGCGAAGGCGGCCUUCUGGCCUGACACUGACACUGAGGUGCGAAAGCGUGGGUAGCAAACAGGAUUAGAUACCCUGGUAGUCCACGCCGUAAACGAUGUCGACUAGCCGUUGGGACCUUUAAGGACUUAGUGGCGCAGUUAACGCGAUAAGUCGACCGCCUGGGGAGUACGGCCGCAAGGUUAAAACUCAAAUGAAUUGACGGGGGCCCGCACAAGCGGUGGAGCAUGUGGUUUAAUUCGAUGCAACGCGAAGAACCUUACCUACCCUUGACAUCCAGAGAAGUUGGCAGAGAUGCCUUGGUGCCUUCGGGAACUCUGAGACAGGUGCUGCAUGGCUGUCGUCACCUCGUGUUGGGAAUGUUGGGUUAGUCCCAUCCACCCCACAAAAAAAAAAAAAAAAAAAAAAA